UGGAGGAUCACUAGAAAGGUGAAGCAGAGAUCAAUAAACGGUGAUAGAGACAAACGAGACUAGAGAUAUAUUACACUUCAAUUAGGAAAGCGAGAGAGUCUGAAUCAUAUGCUGAAUAAAAAUUACAUUCAAAAGAAAAAAUAACAUGCAAACACACAACUGCAGUCACGCACAUGGUGACACACUGCUCCUGUGUUUGCACAGACUGAUGAUCUAAAUGCAUAAACUUUAGCAUUCACAAAUACACUGACACUCCUCACGUAUAGACUUCUACAGUCACAUACUGAUAUUGACUGGUUAAAUUCACA
This is a non-coding RNA of Pelobates cultripes (western spadefoot toad), 308 nucleotides long. Lineage: Eukaryota; Metazoa; Chordata; Amphibia; Anura; Pelobatidae. The record is from the annotation of a GenBank genome assembly.